This 518-nucleotide long non-coding RNA is filed under the name Homo sapiens (human). RNAcentral's name for it is "long intergenic non-protein coding RNA 2346". Lineage: Eukaryota; Metazoa; Chordata; Mammalia; Primates; Hominidae. The record is from RNAcentral.
GGAAUGUGCUGCAAGGCGCUGCCUCGCUCUGGAGCCAGACGAGAGGCCGGAGCAUCCGCCCCAACAUGGCUGGCUGUGUGAGCCUCAGGAACGCUGGCAGCUCUGCAAGACUCUCUGCCAUCUGCAAAAUAAGUAUGAAGAUAUGGUUUCCACACCAAUGUUAGGCCUUCUCAAGGAGCUUAGAGUGUGUCGGUGGAGAGGGAGAAGCCCAACGGGAGAUCUUAUUCCACCUCUGCACGUCUUCAGGACCCCUGUGGAAACAUGUGAUCUCUAACAGUCUCUCUGGGGCUCUGCCCACCCCCAGCAGUGUCACCUCACAUCACCGCACAAUAAGAACUUUCUCAUCAUGAACAUAGCUUUCUCUGGAGAAGCUGGGAAGUGCUUAACUAUGCCAGAAGCUGGACAAUUCAGGUAGAAGUGUAAAUGUUGGCCUAACCUUCAAAGGACAGAAAUAGCUUUCUUUGAAAGUUCUCAAAGGUGUUUCAGAACUCUGGAAAAUUUUAAAUCUUAAAAUAACA